GGAGAGGUUCCAGAGCGGUCAAAUGGGGCAGACUGUAAAUCUGCUGGCUAUGCCUUCGAUGGUUCGAAUCCAUCCCUCUCCACCA
This 85-nucleotide transfer RNA is filed under the name Zetaproteobacteria bacterium. Its description in RNAcentral is "tRNA-Tyr". It matches the Rfam family "tRNA". Rfam says of the family: Transfer RNA (tRNA) molecules are approximately 80 nucleotides in length. Their secondary structure includes four short double-helical elements and three loops (D, anti-codon, and T loops). Lineage: Bacteria; Pseudomonadati; Pseudomonadota; Candidatius Mariprofundia. The record is from RNAcentral.